UGGGGAAUUUUGCGCAAUGGGGGAAACCCUGACGCAGCAACGCCGCGUGGAGGAUGAAGUCCUUCGGGACGUAAACUCCUUUCGAUCGGGACGAUUAUGACGGUACCGGAAGAAGAAGCCCCGGCUAACUUCGUGCCAGCAGCCGCGGUAAUACGAGGGGGGCGAGCGUUGUUCGGAAUUAUUGGGCGUAAAGGGUGCGUAGGCGGUUUGGUAAGUCUUAUGUGAAAUCUAUGGGCUCAACUCAUAGACUGCAUGAGAAACUGCCGGGCUUGAGUGUGGGAGAGGUGAGUGGAAUUUCCGGUGUAGCGGUGAAAUGCGUAGAUAUCGGAAGGAACACCUGUGGCGAAAGCGGCUCACUGGACCACAACUGACGCUGAUGCACGAAAGCUAGGGGAGCAAACAGGAUUAGAUACCCUGGUAGUCCUAGCCCUAAACCAUGAUUGCUUGGUGUGACGGGUACCCAAUCCCGCCGUGCCGUAGCUAACGCGUUAAGCAAUCCGCCUGGGGAGUACGGUCGCAAGGCUG
This 525-nucleotide ribosomal RNA is filed under the name uncultured bacterium. Its description in RNAcentral is "bacterial SSU rRNA". It matches the Rfam family "Bacterial small subunit ribosomal RNA", at positions 355 to 896 of the family's 1533-position model. The record is from RNAcentral.